CUGAGUGAGGGAGCAAUCCCGACCUCCAACCCUUUGUGAAUGCAUCAUGUUGCUUCGGGGCGACCCUGCCGUUCGCGGCAUUCCCCCCGGAGGUAAUCAAAACACUGCAUUCUUACGUCGGAGUAAAAAGUUAAUUUAAUA
This 141-nucleotide unclassified non-coding RNA is filed under the name uncultured Mycosphaerellaceae. The record is from RNAcentral. Lineage: Eukaryota; Fungi; Ascomycota; Dothideomycetes; Mycosphaerellales; Mycosphaerellaceae.